RNAcentral lists this transfer RNA (88 nucleotides) under Anaerolineaceae bacterium. RNAcentral describes it as "tRNA-Ser". It matches the Rfam family "tRNA". From Rfam's summary of the family: Transfer RNA (tRNA) molecules are approximately 80 nucleotides in length. Their secondary structure includes four short double-helical elements and three loops (D, anti-codon, and T loops). Lineage: Bacteria; Bacillati; Chloroflexota; Anaerolineae; Anaerolineales; Anaerolineaceae. The record is from RNAcentral.
GGAGAGAUGCCAGAGUGGUUGAAUGGGACGGUCUCGAAAACCGUUGUAGGGCUAGUCCCUACCGUGGGUUCGAAUCCCACUCUCUCCG